UAGCCUUGACAUUGAUAGAAUACACCAGAAAUGGAUUAAUGCCUUUCGGGAAACUUGAAAACAGGUGCUGCACGGCUGUCGUCAGCUCGUGUCGUGAGAUGUUGGGUUAAGUCCCGCAACGAGCGCAACCCUCGUCCUUAGUUACUAACGGUUCGGCCGAGGACUCUAAGGAGACUGCCUUCGUAAGGAGGAGGAAGGUGAGGACAACGUCAAGUCAUCAUGGCCCUUACGGUUAGGGCAACACACGUGCUACAAUGGUUAGGACAAUGAAAAGCGAUACCGCGAGGUGGAGCAAAUCUAUAAACCUAAUCUCAGUUCGGAUAGCAGUCUGCAACUCGACUGCUUGAAGCUGGAAUCACUAGUAAUCGUAAAUCAGCUAUGUUACGGUGAAUACGUUCCCGGGUCU
Molecule: ribosomal RNA, 406 nt
Filed under: uncultured bacterium
Lineage: Bacteria
Description: bacterial SSU rRNA
Rfam family: Bacterial small subunit ribosomal RNA
Source: RNAcentral